UUUGUUUUUUAAUUAAAAACUAGAAUGAAAGGUUAUACAUUCAAAAUUCUUUAUUAAUUUUUAAUAAAUAAUUUAUAUUAAAUAUAAAAAUAUAUUUAUAAAAAAAAAAGACGACAAGACCCUAUUAAAUUUUACUUAUAGUUUAGCUGGGGAAGCUUUUCAAUUAAAAUUUUUUAAAUUUAAUAAAUAAAAAUCCAAUAAAAUUAAAAUUUUAAUAAAUUACUAUAGGGAUAACAGCAUUAUAUUUUUUAAAAGUUCAUAUUAAAAAAAAUGAUUGUGACCUCGAUGUUGAAUUAUAUUUUCUAUAUUUAAUGCAAUAAUUAUAAAAGUAGAUCUGUUCGAUCUUUAAAAUAUUACAUGAUUUGAGUUCAAACCGAUGUAAAUCAGGUUGGUUUUUAUCUUUUUAUAUAUUUUUCUAGUACGAAAGGACAAAAAAAUUUUUAUUUUAAUAAAUUAGCAAAUAAAUGCAUUAGAUUUAGAAUCUAAAUAUAUUUAAUAAUUUUUUUUAUUAAUCCUUUAUUAUCUAUUAUUAUACUCUUAAUUUCAGUAGCAUUUUAUACAAUUUUAGAACGAAAAUUUUUAAGAUAUAUUCAAAUUCGAAAAGGACCAAAUAAAGUAGGAUUUUUAGGUAUUUUACAACCUUUUAGUGAUGCUAUUAAAUUAUUUAAUAAAAAUUUAAUUUUAUCUGAAAGAAUAAAUUUUACAUUAUCAUAUUUAACUCCAGCAUUAUCUUUAAUUUUAAGAAUAAUAAUUGUAUCUAUAUUACCAAUAUAUUUUUAUUCUCCAUUUGAUAAUAAAAAUAAUAUUUUAAUAUUUUUUGUAAUUUCAAGAUUAUCAGUAU
Molecule: ribosomal RNA, 841 nt
Filed under: Anelosimus elegans
Lineage: Eukaryota; Metazoa; Arthropoda; Arachnida; Araneae; Theridiidae
Description: partial 16S ribosomal RNA
Source: RNAcentral